Molecule: unclassified non-coding RNA, 201 nt
Filed under: Hevea brasiliensis (rubber tree)
Lineage: Eukaryota; Viridiplantae; Streptophyta; Magnoliopsida; Malpighiales; Euphorbiaceae
Source: RNAcentral
AGAACAGUGUUUUUUAUCUCCAAGGGUGCAUCUCUAAAGAAUUCUUCCUCGGGAACAAGUUCAAUAUCAGGAUAUUUUGACCUGAAAUCUUUGCAGGCCUUUAUAGCUUUCACAUAAUGACUUUUUUCAUACAUCAAGUUGUGGAGCUGCAGCGUGGUGAAGUCCACAGGAGCUUUUGCACGUUCAGUUUCCCCCUUCACA